Molecule: ribosomal RNA, 489 nt
Filed under: uncultured bacterium
Lineage: Bacteria
Description: partial 16S ribosomal RNA
Rfam family: Bacterial small subunit ribosomal RNA
Source: RNAcentral
GAUGAACGCUAGCGGCAGGCUUAAUACAUGCAAGUCGAGGGGCAGCAGGACUGUAGCAAUUCAGUUGCUGGCGACCGGCAAACGGGUGCGGAACACGUACGCAACCUACCCAAAACUGGGGGAUAGCCCGGGGAAACCCGGAUUAAUACCUCGUAACCUUUUUAAGUGGCAUCACUUGAUAAGUAUAGCUCCGGCGGUUUUGGAUGGGCGUGCGCCUGAUUAGGUAGUUGGUGCGGGUAACGGCCCACCAAGCCUGCGAUCAGUAACUGGUGUGAGAGCACGACCAGUCACAAGGGCACUGAGACACGGGCCCGACUCCUACGGGAGGCAGCAGUAAGGAAUAUUGGUCAAUGGACGCAAGUCUGAACCAGCCAUGCCGCGUGAAGGAUGAAGGUCCUCUGGAUUGUAAACUUCUUUUAUGGGGGACGAAACCCGGAUAUUCUUAUCCGAUUGACGGUACCUCAGGAAUAAGCACCGGCUAACUCCGUG